ACUUGUUAAUUUAACAAUGUAAAAAAAUAGAAAAUGCUGAAUUAUUGAUAGAAAAUUUUUUUCACUAUCUAGAUAAAGAUCAAUAAUUCGGAUCGUAAAUUGAAGAAUCCGAUCAAUUAUUUUUAUAACGUCAUUUGAUUUUGACCGUUCAUUUUAAACCCGCUUAAUAGAUUUUAUUAUGAUUUCAAAAAAUUACGAAAUUUAUUUUUUACAAGUUUCAAAAACUCUAGAUCAUAUCUAACGAAAUAAACCGUCGAUUAAGAAGCUUCAUCAUCAAAAAUAAUUUAUAAGUACGAAAGGCUUUAUACUUAUAAAAAUAUAGUAGCCCCUCUCUCUCUCUCUCUCUCUCUCUCUCUCUCUCUCUCUCUAUAUAUAUAUAUAUAUAUAUAUACAC
RNAcentral lists this long non-coding RNA (394 nucleotides) under Ananas comosus (pineapple). RNAcentral's name for it is "long non-coding RNA (ACOM_LNC044445)". The record is from RNAcentral. Lineage: Eukaryota; Viridiplantae; Streptophyta; Magnoliopsida; Poales; Bromeliaceae.